Molecule: non-coding RNA, 29 nt
Filed under: Rattus norvegicus (Norway rat)
Lineage: Eukaryota; Metazoa; Chordata; Mammalia; Rodentia; Muridae
Source: RNAcentral
UACUUUUCAGGUACUCUCCACCUAUAAGU